This 498-nucleotide ribosomal RNA is filed under the name uncultured Glomeromycotina. RNAcentral describes it as "partial small subunit ribosomal RNA". It matches the Rfam family "Eukaryotic small subunit ribosomal RNA", at positions 591 to 1092 of the family's 1831-position model. The record is from RNAcentral. Lineage: Eukaryota; Fungi; Glomeromycota.
CCAAUAGCGUAUAUUAAAGUUGUUGCAGUUAAAAAGCUCGUAGUUGAAUUUCGGGAUCAGUACGUUGGUCAUGCCUUGGUAUGUACUGGUGUAACUGAUUCCUCCCUUCUGACGAACCGUCAUGCCAUUAAUUUGGUGUGGCGGGAAAUCAGGACUGUUACUUUGAAAAAAUUAGAGUGUUUAAAGCAGGAUCGCGCUUGAAUACAUUAGCAUGGAAUAAUGAAAUAGGACGUUAAUCCUAUUUUGUUGGUUUCUAGGAUCGACGUAAUGAUUAAUAGGGAUAGUUGGGGGCAUUAGUAUUCAAUUGUCAGAGGUGAAAUUCUUGGAUUUAUUGAAGACUAACUACUGCGAAAGCAUUUGCCAAGGAUGUUUUCAUUAAUCAAGAACAAAAGUUAGGGGAUCGAAGACGAUCAGAUACCGUCGUAGUCUUAACCAUAAACUAUGCCGACUAGGGAUCGGAUGAUGUUAAUUUUUUAAUGACUCAUUCGGCGCCUUACG